Molecule: long non-coding RNA, 248 nt
Filed under: Elaeis guineensis (African oil palm)
Lineage: Eukaryota; Viridiplantae; Streptophyta; Magnoliopsida; Arecales; Arecaceae
Description: long non-coding RNA (EGUI_LNC015828)
Source: RNAcentral
AGAGAAUCUCUCACGAAUGCGGAAUAUAGAUCCCUGUUUAAGAAUGCAAUAUCGAUGACGAUUUCAAUGCCACAAAAAGAAGGAUGAAGAAAAAAAUAUAAAACACAAGCAAAUUCUGUGGAUUGGCUCAAACUCUACCUCCAACUGCUAGGCAAAUCAAGACAGCUCAUUAAAUCAAAAUUUUGCUAAUUGUGGGAUAGAAAAGAAAAACUUGCCUAGGUUUUCACCUUACAAUAACAAAGAACUAU